RNAcentral lists this ribosomal RNA (550 nucleotides) under uncultured bacterium. RNAcentral describes it as "bacterial SSU rRNA". It matches the Rfam family "Bacterial small subunit ribosomal RNA", at positions 355 to 896 of the family's 1533-position model. The record is from RNAcentral.
UAGGGAAUCUUCGGCAAUGGGGGCAACCCUGACCGAGCAACGCCGCGUGAGUGAAGAAGGUUUUCGGAUCGUAAAGCUCUGUUGUAAGUCAAGAACGAGUGUGAGAGUGGAAAGUUCACACUGUGACGGUAGCUUACCAGAAAGGGACGGCUAACUACGUGCCAGCAGCCGCGGUAAUACGUAGGUCCCGAGCGUUGUCCGGAUUUAUUGGGCGUAAAGCGAGCGCAGGCGGUUUGAUAAGUCUGAAGUUAAAGGCUGUGGCUCAACCAUAGUUCGCUUUGGAAACUGUCAAACUUGAGUGCAGAAGGGGAGAGUGGAAUUCCAUGUGUAGCGGUGAAAUGCGUAGAUAUAUGGAGGAACACCGGUGGCGAAAGUGGCUCUCUGGUCUGUAACUGACGCUGAGGCUCGAAAGCGUGGGGAGCGAACAGGAUUAGAUACCCUGGUAGUCCACGCCGUAAACGAUGAGUGCUAGGUGUUGGAUCCUUUCCGGGAUUCAGUGCCGCAGCUAACGCAUUAAGCACUCCGCCUGGGGAGUACGACCGCAAGGUUG